RNAcentral lists this ribosomal RNA (200 nucleotides) under uncultured bacterium. RNAcentral's name for it is "partial 16S ribosomal RNA". It matches the Rfam family "Bacterial small subunit ribosomal RNA", at positions 29 to 257 of the family's 1533-position model. The record is from RNAcentral.
AACGAACGCUGGCGGCAGGCCUAAAACAUGCAAGUCGAACGAUGUAGCAAUACAUAGUGGCGCACGGGUGCGUAACGCGUGGGAACAUACCCUUUGGUUCGGAAUAACGCAGGGAAACUUGUGCUAAUACCGAAUGUGCCCUUCGGGGAAAGAUUUAUCGCCAUUAGAGCGGCCCGCGUUAGAUUAGCUAGUUGGUGAGG